GCUGGGUGUUAUGGCACACACCUGUAAUCCUAGCAACUCAGAAGGCUGAGACAGGAGGAUCAUGAGUUCAAAGCCUGCCUUAGCAACUUAAUGAGGUCCUAAGCAACUUAGUGAGACCCUGUCUCUA
RNAcentral lists this small RNA (127 nucleotides) under Marmota monax (woodchuck). Lineage: Eukaryota; Metazoa; Chordata; Mammalia; Rodentia; Sciuridae. The record is from RNAcentral.